AUUGAACGCUGGCGGCAUGCCUUACACAUGCAAGUCGAACGGCAGCACGGGAGCAAUCCUGGUGGCGAGUGGCGAACGGGUGAGUAAUAUAUCGGAACGUGCCCAGUCGUGGGGAUAACGUAGCGAAAGCUACGCUAAUACCGCAUACGAUCUAUGGAUGAAAGCGGGGGAUCGCAAGACCUCGCGCGAUUGGAGCGGCCGAUAUCAGAUUAGGUAGUUGGUGAGGUAAAGGCUCACCAAGCCGACGAUCUGUAGCUGGUCUGAGAGGACGACCAGCCACACUGGGACUGAGACACGGCCCAGACUCCUACGGGAGGCAGCAGUGGGAAUUUUGGACAAUGGGCGCAAGCCUGAUCCAGCAAUGCCGCGUGCAGGAUGAAGGCCUUCGGUUGUAACUGCUUUUGUUACGGAACGAACGGUAGAGCUCUAAUACAGUUUGCUAAUGACGGUACCGUAAGAAUAAGACACCGGCUAACUACGUACG
Molecule: ribosomal RNA, 484 nt
Filed under: uncultured bacterium
Lineage: Bacteria
Description: bacterial SSU rRNA
Rfam family: Bacterial small subunit ribosomal RNA
Source: RNAcentral